This 1017-nucleotide ribosomal RNA is filed under the name uncultured bacterium. Its description in RNAcentral is "bacterial SSU rRNA". It matches the Rfam family "Bacterial small subunit ribosomal RNA", at positions 357 to 1376 of the family's 1533-position model. The record is from RNAcentral.
AGGAAUAUUGGUCAAUGGACGUAAGUCUGAACCAGCCAAGUCGCGUGAGGGAAGACUGCCCUAUGGGUUGUAAACCUCUUUUAUAAGGGAAGAAUAAGUUCUACGUGUAGAAUGAUGCCUGUACCUUAUGAAUAAGCAUCGGCUAACUCCGUGCCAGCAGCCGCGGUAAUACGGAGGAUGCGAGCGUUAUCCGGAUUUAUUGGGUUUAAAGGGUGCGUAGGCGGUUUAUUAAGUUAGUGGUUAAAUAUUUGAGCUAAACUCAAUUGUGCCAUUAAUACUGGUAAACUGGAGUACAGACGAGGUAGGCGGAAUAAGUUAAGUAGCGGUGAAAUGCAUAGAUAUAACUUAGAACUCCGAUAGCGAAGGCAGCUUACCAGACUGUAACUGACGCUGAUGCACGAGAGCGUGGGUAGCGAACAGGAUUAGAUACCCUGGUAGUCCACGCCGUAAACGAUGCUCACUGGUUCUGUGCGAUAUAUUGUACAGGAUUAAGCGAAAGUAUUAAGUGAGCCACCUGGGGAGUACGUCGGCAACGAUGAAACUCAAAGGAAUUGACGGGGGCCCGCACAAGCGGAGGAACAUGUGGUUUAAUUCGAUGAUACGCGAGGAACCUUACCUGGGUUUAAAUGGGAAAUGCCGUAUUUGGAAACAGAUAUUCUCUUCGGAGCGUUUUUCAAGGUGCUGCAUGGUUGUCGUCAGCUCGUGCCGUGAGGUGUCGGGUUAAGUCCCAUAACGAGCGCAACCCUUACCGUUAGUUGCUAGCAUGUAAUGAUGAGCACUCUAACGGGACUGCCACCGUAAGGUGAGAGGAAGGCGGGGAUGACGUCAAAUCAGCACGGCCCUUACACCCAGGGCUACACACGUGUUACAAUGGCCGGUACAGAGGGCUGCUACCAGGUGACUGGAUGCCAAUCUCAAAAGCCGGUCGUAGUUCGGAUUGGAGUCUGUAACCCGACUCCAUGAAGUUGGAUUCGCUAGUAAUCGCGCAUCAGCCAUGGCGCGGUGAAUACGUUCCCG